UUGCCGGCGACCGGCGCACGGGUAAGUAACACGUAUGCAACCUGCCCGUCUCAGGGGGAUAAUCGUCGGAAACGGCGUCUAAUACCCCGUAUGAAGCUGGACGGCAUCGUCUGGUUUUGAAAGAAUAUCGGAGACGGAUGGGCAUGCGGCGCAUUAGCUAGUUGGCGGGGUAACGGCCCACCAAGGCGACGAUGCGUAGGGGUUCUGAGAGGAAGGUCCCCCACACUGGUACUGAGACACGGACCAGACUCCUACGGGAGGCAGCAG
RNAcentral lists this ribosomal RNA (267 nucleotides) under uncultured bacterium. Its description in RNAcentral is "partial 16S ribosomal RNA". It matches the Rfam family "Bacterial small subunit ribosomal RNA", at positions 85 to 354 of the family's 1533-position model. The record is from RNAcentral.